RNAcentral lists this RNase P RNA (535 nucleotides) under Plasmodium ovale (malaria parasite P. ovale). Its description in RNAcentral is "Plasmodium RNase_P". It matches the Rfam family "Plasmodium RNase_P". RNAcentral also lists the same sequence under 1 other name. The record is from Rfam by way of RNAcentral. Lineage: Eukaryota; Apicomplexa; Aconoidasida; Haemosporida; Plasmodiidae.
CAAGGAAUGAGUUUAAGCUCAAAACAUCCUGCAAAUAUACAUACACGAAAUUAGAGAAAAAAGGGGGGAGGGUAAAAAAAAGGAAAAGGAAAUAUUAAUAUCUUCUUUCCUUUUUUUUUCCCCCUUUUUUUUUUCUUUUCUUUGGUGUAAUUUUUUAAUACAGGAAGGAAGGUCUGAGAUGCUGGCAAAAAGAAAAAAUAAGAAAAAGAGAAGAAUGAAGGUGAGCUUUUUAAGCACACCCUUAUUAGCUUUUUUUUUUUUUUAUUUUAACAUUCUUUAUACUAAUUUUUGAGAAGAAAGUUAUUGUAAAAAUAUCAAUUGGCUACUAGAAAUUUCAAUUUUAUGUUUCCAUCGUGUUUUAUAUUAUUUUGAAAAUAGCCAAUAAGCAAGUAUACACUGGUGAGUUCGAUUUUUGAGGUUUUUCCAACUUGUCAAGAACUGGUAAUGCUUUGUAUAUUUUUAUAUAUAUGCGUGCUCGUUUUGAGAUAACGGAAAAAUAACUUAAUUCAGACUACUCCUAAGUUCAUUCCAUCAC